CGGAGGAUCCAAGCGUUAUCCGGAAUCAUUGGGUUUAAAGGGUCCGUAGGCGGGUUUAUAAGUCAGUGGUGAAAGCCCAUCGCUCAACGAUGGAACGGCCAUUGAUACUGUAGAUCUUGAAUUAUUAGGAAGUAACUAGAAUAUGUAGUGUAGCGGUGAAAUGCUUAGAGAUUACAUGGAAUACCAAUUGCGAAGGCAGGUUACUACUAAUGGAUUGACGCUGAUGGACGAAAGCGUGGGUAGCGAACAGGAUUAGAUACCCUGGUAGCCCACGCCGUAAACGAUGGAUACUAGCUGUUCGGAGCAAUCUGAGUGGCUAAGCGAAAGUGAUAAGUAUCCCACCUGGGGAGUACGUUCGCAAGAAUG
Molecule: ribosomal RNA, 366 nt
Filed under: uncultured organism
Description: bacterial SSU rRNA
Rfam family: Bacterial small subunit ribosomal RNA
Source: RNAcentral